Molecule: ribosomal RNA, 522 nt
Filed under: uncultured Glomeromycotina
Lineage: Eukaryota; Fungi; Glomeromycota
Description: SSU rRNA
Rfam family: Eukaryotic small subunit ribosomal RNA
Source: RNAcentral
AGCAACCGCGGUAAUUCCAGCUUCAAUAGCGUAUAUUAAAGUUGUUGCAGUUAAAAAGCUUGUAGUUGAAUUUCGGGAUCAGUACGCCGGUCGUGCCUUCGGUAUGCACUGGUGUCACUGGUUUCUCCCUUCUGAAGAACCAUCAUGCCAUUAAGUUGGUGUGGCGGGGAAUCAGGACUGUUACUUUGAAAAAAUUAGAGUGUUUAAAGCAGGCUCGCGCUUGAAUACAUUAGCAUGGAAUAAUGAAAUAGGACGUUUGACCCUAUUUUGUUGGUUUCUAGGAUCGACGUAAUGAUUAAUAGGGAUAGUUGGGGGCAUUAGUAUUCAAUUGUCAGAGGUGAAAUUCUUGGAUUUAUUGAAGACUAACUACUGCGAAAGCAUUUGCCAAGGAUGUUUUCAUUAAUCAAGAACGAAAGUUAGGGGAUCGAAGACGAUCAGAUACCGUCGUAGUCUUAACCAUAAACUAUGCCGACUAGGGAUCGGAUGAUGUUAAUUUUUUAAUGACUCAUUCGGCGCCUUACG